This 320-nucleotide small nuclear RNA is filed under the name Microcebus murinus (gray mouse lemur). RNAcentral describes it as "7SK RNA (ENSMICG00000023134.3)". It matches the Rfam family "7SK RNA". From Rfam's summary of the family: 7SK was discovered as an abundant small nuclear RNA in the mid-70s but a possible function has only recently been suggested. Two independent studies have found that 7SK RNA binds the CDK9/cyclin T complex (known as elongation factor P-TEFb). Lineage: Eukaryota; Metazoa; Chordata; Mammalia; Primates; Cheirogaleidae. The record is from Rfam by way of RNAcentral.
GAAUGUGAGGGCCAUCUAGCUGUGACAUCUGUUACCCCAUUGAUUGCCAGGGUUGAUUCAGCUGUUCUGGCUGGCUAGGCAGGUGUCCCCUUCCUCUCUUACUACUUCACGUGUGUGCCUCCCAAAGCUGCACGCUUAGUCGAAGAGGAUGACCUUCCCCAAUACAGAAGGACCGUUCUUCCGUCAAGGGUAUAUGAGUAGCUGUGUUCCCCCUUGUAGAACCUUCAAACAAGCUCUCAAGGUUCAGAUGAGGUACUGGUAGGGAUAUUAGUAGGGUCUGACCAAGUUAUGAUGUUCUAAUCCCUAAGUUGUCAUUAGUA